This 540-nucleotide ribosomal RNA is filed under the name uncultured soil bacterium. Its description in RNAcentral is "bacterial SSU rRNA". It matches the Rfam family "Bacterial small subunit ribosomal RNA", at positions 8 to 524 of the family's 1533-position model. The record is from RNAcentral.
AGAGUUUGAUCCUGGCUCAGAACGAACGCUGGCGGCGUGCCUAACACAUGCAAGUCGAACGAGAAAGGGGCUUCGGCUCCGAGUAAAGUGGCGCACGGGUGAGUAACACGUGGGUAACCUGCCUCUAAGAUUGGGACAACUCGUCGAAAGAUGAGCUAAUACCGAAUAAGACCACAGUUCCUGCGGGAACAGCGGUCAAAGGUAGCCUCUGCUUGCAAGCUAUCACUUAGAGAUGGGCCUGCGCACCAUUAGCUAGUUGGUAGGGUAACGGCCUACCAAGGCAAAGAUGGUUAGCUGGUCUGAGAGGAUGAUCAGCCACACUGGAACUGAGACACGGUCCAGACUCCUACGGGAGGCAGCAGUGGGGAAUAUUGCGCAAUGGGCGAAAGCUUGACGCAGCAACGCUGCGUGAGUGGUGAAGGCCUUCGGGUCGUAAAGCUCUGUCGGGAGGAACGAAUGCUCCUGAGGUUAACAGCCUCGGGAGGUGACGGUACCUUCAAAGGAAGCACCGGCUAACUCUGUGCCAGCAGCCGCGGUAAU